CCGGCGACCGGCGCACGGGUGAGUAACACGUAUGCAACCUGCCCUCCGCAGGGGGAUAACCCGGAGAAAUCCGGACUAAUACCGCGUGGUACAUCUGUGGGGCAUCCCACGGGUGUUAAAAGGAAGCGAUUCCGGCGGAGGAUGGGCAUGCGGCGCAUUAGCUAGUUGGCGGGGUAACGGCCCACCAAGGCGACGAUGCGUAGGGGUUCAGAGAGGAAGGUCCCCCACACUGGUACUGAGACACGGACCAGACUCCUACGGGAGGCAGCAG
This 271-nucleotide ribosomal RNA is filed under the name uncultured bacterium. RNAcentral describes it as "partial 16S ribosomal RNA". It matches the Rfam family "Bacterial small subunit ribosomal RNA", at positions 88 to 354 of the family's 1533-position model. The record is from RNAcentral.